ACACCCACGCGAUGACGUCAUCACGGGGGGGGGAACCCCCCGGGUUUUAUUGCCGAAAUUUUGGGGGGGGGGGGGGAGGGGAAAAGGGGGAAACCCCCUGUGACGUCAUCGGGGGCACCCCAAUGUCCCCAUUUGGGAUCCCCAAAAUCCCAAAAAUCCCCCAAAUUUGGGGUCCCCAAUGUCCGGGUUGGGGGGGGGGUCCCCAAAUUUAAUUUUGGGGUCCCCGAUGUCCCGGGGGGGGUCCCCAAAAUCCUGGAGUGUCCUAAAAAUCCUGGGGGGGGGAUCCCCAAAAUUCUAUUUUUGGGUCCUUGAGGGUGAGGAGUGUCCUGGGGAGGGUUCCCCAAAUCCAAUUUUAGCGUCCCCAAAUCCCAUUUUGGGGUCCCCAAAUCCAAUUUUGGGGUCCCCAAAAUUUUGGGGUGUCCCCAAUGUCCUGCGGGGGGUCCCCAUAUCCCAUUUUAGGGUCUCCCCGUCCCAUUUUGGGGUCCCCAAAGUCCAGGGGUGUCCCCAAAUCUCAAUUUUGGGGUCCCCCCCCAUUCUGGGGACGCCGAGGUGGGGGCGGGUCCUGAUGUCCCCAAAAUGUCCAAAAAAUGUCCCAAAUUGGGGACCAAGAGGAGCACGUGGCCAUGGCAGGAGCAGGACCCUGAUGUCCCCAAAAUGUCCCCAAGGCCACCAUGGGGUCCAAAGGUGGGUCCUGAUGUCCCCAGAUGUUCUGAAAAUGUCCCCAAAAUGUCCCAAAAAUGUCCCCAAGGCCACCGUGGGGUCCAAAGGUAGGUCCUGAUGUCCCCAAAUGUUCUGAAAAUGUCCCAAAAAUGUCCCCAAGGCCACAGUGGGGUCCAAGGGCGGGACCCGAAGUCCUCAAAAGUCCCCAAAAUGUCCCCAAAAUGUCCCCAAAGUGUCCCCAGUGCUGCAGUGGGGUCCAAAGGCGGGUUCUGAUGUCCCCAAAUGUCCCCAGGUGGGGUCCACGAGGAGCACGAGGCCAUGGUGGGGGUCAGUCCCUCGAUGUCCCCAAACGUCCCUCGGUGUCCCCAAAAGUCUCCAGAUGUCCCUCAAUGUCCCCAAUGUCCCCAGAUGUCCCUCGGUGUCCACCAUGAUGUCCUCAGGUGUCCCCAAUUCGGGGACAUGGACGGGUCCUCGAUGUCCCCAAAUGUCCAGUGAUGUCCCCAGUGAUGUCCCCAAUGUCCCCAGAUGUCCCUCGGUGUCCACCAUGAUGUCCCCAGUGUCCCCAAAAUGUCCCCAGUGUCCCCAGUGUCCCCAUCCGGGGUCCACCAGCAGGGCCGGGUGGUGGCGGGGGUUGGUCUCUGAUGUCCUCCACGGUGUCCCAGUGUCCCCAGUUGGUGUCCCAGUCCAUCCCAGUUUGCCCAGUCUGUGUCCCAGUUACAUCCCAGUAUCCCCAGUUUUGGUCUUGGUGUCCCCAGUCCAUCCCGGUUUGUCCCAGUGUCCCCAGUUUGUGUCUGCAGUCCCUCCCA
Molecule: long non-coding RNA, 1466 nt
Filed under: Lonchura striata (white-rumped munia)
Lineage: Eukaryota; Metazoa; Chordata; Aves; Passeriformes; Estrildidae
Description: domestica (Bengalese finch) lncRNA (ENSLSDG00000005400.1)
Source: RNAcentral